This 383-nucleotide ribosomal RNA is filed under the name marine copepod environmental sample. RNAcentral's name for it is "partial small subunit ribosomal RNA". It matches the Rfam family "Eukaryotic small subunit ribosomal RNA", at positions 587 to 972 of the family's 1831-position model. Lineage: Eukaryota; Metazoa; Arthropoda; Copepoda. The record is from RNAcentral.
AGCUCCAAUAGCGUAUAUUAAAGAUGUUGGGGUAAAAAAGCAAGAAGAAGGAUCAAAAAAGCCAUGAAGCGGGUAACAAGGUAGUUUUCCUGCUUUUUCGUCUGUUCUUUUGCUGGAGGUUUAGGGGUGCUCUUGAUCGAGUGUCUCUGGAUGCCAGCAGGUUUACUUUGAAAAAAUUAGAGUGCUCAAAGCAGGCUAAAAUGCCUGAAUAUUCGUGCAUGGAAUAAUAGAAUAGGAUGUCGAUCCUAUUUUGUUGGUUUUCGGGACUCGACAUAAUGAUAAAUAGGGACAGUCGGGGGCAUUUGUAUUCAAACGACAGAGGUGAAAUUCUUGGACCGUUUGAAGACAAGCUACUGCGAAAGCAUUUGCAAAGAAUGUUGUCA